This 573-nucleotide ribosomal RNA is filed under the name [Candida] sp. BG02-7-18-013B-C-1. RNAcentral's name for it is "eukaryotic LSU rRNA". It matches the Rfam family "Eukaryotic large subunit ribosomal RNA", at positions 40 to 635 of the family's 3401-position model. Lineage: Eukaryota; Fungi; Ascomycota; Saccharomycetes; Saccharomycetales. The record is from RNAcentral.
AUAUCAAUAAGCGGAGGAAAAGAAACCAACAGGGAUUGCCUCAGUAGCGGCGAGUGAAGCGGCAAAAGCUCAAAUUUGAAAUCUGGUACCUUCGGUGCCCGAGUUGUAAUUUGAAGAAAGUAAUCUUGGAAUUGGCCCCUGUCUAUGUUCCUUGGAACAGGACGUCAUAGAGGGUGAGAAUCCCGUGUGAUGGGGAGACCGUUCUAUGUAAGAUACUUUCGACGAGUCGAGUUGUUUGGGAUUGCAGCUCUAAGUGGGUGGUAAAUUCCAUCUAAAGCUAAAUAUUGGCGAGAGACCGAUAGCGAACAAGUACAGUGAUGGAAAGAUGAAAAGAACUUUGAAAAGAGAGUGAAAAAGUACGUGAAAUUGUUGAAAGGGAAGGGUAUUCGAUCAGACUGGUACCUAGUUAUCAUUUGCUCCUUGUGGGCAAUGCUCUAACUUUUUACUGGGCCAACAUCAGUUUAGGUGGCAAGAUAAUCGCUGUUGAAUGUGGCUCCUCGGAGUGUUAUAGCUUCAGUUGAUAUUGCCUAUCUGGACUGAGGUCUGCGGCUUUGCCUAGGAUGUUGGCGUAAU